Molecule: long non-coding RNA, 2461 nt
Filed under: Homo sapiens (human)
Lineage: Eukaryota; Metazoa; Chordata; Mammalia; Primates; Hominidae
Description: long non-coding RNA NONHSAT056798.2
Source: RNAcentral
GCUCCUGAGUAGCUGGGAUUACAGGCGCCCUCCACCACGCCCGGCGAAUUUUUGUAUCUUUAGUAGAGACAGGGUUUCACCACGUUGGCCAGGUUGGUCUUGAACUCCUGACCUCAUGAUCCGCCUGCCUCGGCCUCCCAAAGUGUUGGGAUUACAGGUGUGAGCCACCGCACCCGGCCUCUGAGAAAUAUUUAGAUUGUACGCCUCAAAUGGGCAGGGACUGUGUCUUACACUUUUGUAUUUAUGCUACAGCUUACCUAAUACAGUGCCAGGCCUCGUUAAACACUUAUUGAUUGCUCAGACGAUAAAGAACUUGCUUUGGAAGGAGGAGAGGAUAGUCAUGUGCUUCUGAAUGUAUUGAACUUCUUGAAAUCUCUUUCCUCAUCAAUUUUAGCAGAGUUUCUAUUGAAACUCCUAGGGUGUGUUUAUGGAAGACAAACUGAGAUGUGCUGUCCCAGCCUUAGGCCCUGGCAGUACGCCUUGCCUUUUCACGGCACACCCACUACAGCCUUUCCCACACUGUGACACUGGAGCUGGUGAGUCAUGCAUGGCAUGGGAAGCCCUCUCUAGGAGGAUGCUGUGGCCACACAAGCGCUGGACGAACCGCUGGAGUAGGUGACUUCCAAGGUGUCCUGAUGUAGUAGCUAUUAGACAAGCUCCUGCAUUUGGCCAGUAAUUAGCAUGCUGCUGCACAUUGCCACUAGGUGGUGCUGCUGCUCCAUUCCCAAGUAACCCACAUGCAUCCCUGGCUGGGGUCAGCCUUGGGGUUUCCCAAGUGUAGAGGAAUCCAUCUCUGUGCCUGUGGUAAUGGCUGGACACCAGGAGAGACCCAGAAAACAGGGAUAUCCUAGAAGAGAAAGGCAAAAUAAGCACUCAGAGCAGAGGACAUUUGAGUGUCAAUAAUGAAGGUGGCAGCAGUAAUCAUGGCUAUCAUUUACUAAAAAUAGUGGAUAUUGGCCAGACAUGGUGGCUCACACCUGUAAUCCCAGCAUUUUGGGAGACCAAGGUGGGUGGAUCACUUGAGGUCAGCAGUUCGAGACCAGCCCGGCCAACAUGGUGAAACUAUCUACUAAAAAUACAAAAAUUAGCCAGGUGUGGUGGUGCACGCCUGUAGUCCCAGCUACUCGGGAGGCUGAGGAAGGAGAAUCACUUGAACCUGGGAGGUGGAGGCUGUAGUGAGCUGAGAUCGCAUCACUGCACUCCAGCCUGGACAACAGAGCAAGACUGUCUCAAAAAAAAAAAGUAGAUACUGUGCUAGUCACUUGAUACACAUCAUCUCUGAUCUUUGCACUGAGCGAGGCAUGUGUAUUAUGUCUGCAUUACAAAAGGGGAAAAAUUAAGGUUCAAGAAGAUAAAGUCACCAGGCAUGGUGGCGCAUGCCUGUGAUCGCAGCACUUUAAGAGGCUGAGACAGGCGGAUUGGUUGAAUCCAGGAGUUCAAGACCAGCCUGGGCAACAUAGUGAGACCUCAUCUCUACAAAAAAAAUAAAAUUAGCUGGGUGUGGUGGUGUGUGCCUGUAGUCACAGCUCCUCGGGAGGCUGAUGUGGAAGGAUCACUUGAGCCCGGGAGAUAGAGGCUGCAGUGAGAUGAGACUGAGCCAUUGCACUCAGCCUAGGCAACAGAGUGAGACCCUGUCUCAAAACAAAACAGAAAUAACAAAAAAUAAGGUGACUUGCUGGAGGCCACAUGGCUGUGAGCCAAAUACAGGUCUGGGUUAUCAGGGCUCACAUACUUCUAAGUACACCCUACUGCCUUGGAAUCUGCUGAAGACCAAGCCCCUGCCCCCAAGCCAUGGCAAAGAAGGAGGGAAGGAAGCAAAGGUGCCCAGCGGGGACAACUCGGGGAGGGGCGAGGUGCCCAGGGCCCAGGAAGGCCAAGCAGCAUGUGGCAGGGCAGCAUCAGGUGACUCCCAAGAAGGAAUGAGGAGAGGAUGUGAGGAAAGAGCCACAGCACAGAGGCCUGCUGUUAGGUCAGCGGAGACCACGGCCCAUGGGACCUGGAUCUACCCUUGAUGCUAACAAUGUUCUUUGGGGAAAAAAUCUAUAAUCACAAAGUUUCUGCAACUGGACUGUAGUCAUGGUUGCAGAACUGUAUAGAUUUACUAGGAACCAUCAAAUUGUUCACUUACAAUGGGUAAAUUGUACAGUACAUAGGUUAUCCCUCAGUAAAGCUGUAUGAAAUUUAUAGUCAUGAAACUAAUAGUGACAAACGAGCUGGGUAAGUAGGUCUCAGCUGUUCUGUAGGCACUUUGAGAAGAGGAAGAGUAGCAUCUCGGUUUUAAUAAAAGAAAGCCUGGCCCAUGGCGUCCAGCUUCUGCUUGAAUACUUUCAGUGCCCGGGAGCUCAGUAUCUCAAAGCAGCCCACUCCUGUUUAAGAGAACUCUAAACCUUAGAAUGUUGAAAUACAUCAUUAUUAUUCUAGUACUGCUGUGAAAAAUAAAUGUCUUUGUUUUGCCACAUAA